GACGUAGGGCGCAAGCGUUGUCCGGAUUUAUUGGGCGUAAAGAGCGUGUAGGCGGCUUUGCAAGUCCGUUGUGAAAACUCGAGCUCAACCUCGAGACGCCGGUGGAAACUGCAAAGCUAGAGUCCGGAAGAGGAGAGUGGAAUUCCUGGUGUAGCGGUGAAAUGCGCAGAUAUCAGGAAGAACACCCGUGGCGAAGGCGGCUCUCUGGGACGGUACUGACGCUGAGACGCGAAAGCGUGGGGAGCGAACAGG
This 252-nucleotide ribosomal RNA is filed under the name uncultured bacterium. Its description in RNAcentral is "partial 16S ribosomal RNA". It matches the Rfam family "Bacterial small subunit ribosomal RNA", at positions 524 to 776 of the family's 1533-position model. The record is from RNAcentral.